CCCCCCGAAUUGUAGUCUAGAAAGGCGCCAUCGGCCGCGUCCGCCGCUCAAAUCCCUUGGAACGGGGUAUCGGAGAAGGUGAGAAUCCUGUGCCGUGGCGGUUCGCGGUCGCACGAUGCGCCCUUGCAGAGUCGGGUUGCUUGGGAUUGCAGCUUGAAUUGGGUGGUAAAUUCCAUCUAAAGCUAAAUACUGGCGAGAGACCGAUAGCGAACAAGUACCGUGAGGGAAAGAUGCAAAGAACUUUGAAAAGAGAGUUAAAGAGUGCUUGAAAUCGGCAAGAGGAAACCCGUUUACGCCCGGCUUCGCGCCGUCGACUCAGCCGCGCUUCUUGCGCGGUGCACUUUGUCGGCGCGGGUCAGCCGCGGCUCGGCGGGGGCAACACGGCUGUUUGCAGGGCUUCGGCGUAGCGAAUGGUGAUGGCCCGCGCUGGGCUCCGGCUGAUGCGCACGGGCGCAACCGACCCGUCUAGAAACACGGACCAAGGAGUCUGACGCGUGUGCGAGUACCCGGGUGGCAAGCCCGCGUGCGCAAUGAAAGUGAAGGGCGUGCCCCGCCAACCGACCUUGAUCUUCUGUGAAGGGUUUGAGUGGAGCACACGAGUCGGGACCCGAAAGAUGGUGAACUAUGCCUGAGGAGGGUGAAGCCAGAGGAAACUCUGGUGGAGGCUCGUAGCGAUACUGACGUGCAAAUCGUUCGUCGAACUUGGGUAUAGGGGCGAAAGACUAAUCGAACCAUCUAGUAGCUGGUUCCCUCCGAAGUUUCCCUCAGGAUAGCUUGAACGCCGACGGUUUUGU
Molecule: ribosomal RNA, 794 nt
Filed under: Haptophyta environmental samples
Lineage: Eukaryota; Haptophyta
Description: eukaryotic LSU rRNA
Rfam family: Eukaryotic large subunit ribosomal RNA
Source: RNAcentral